AACGCACAUUGCGCCCGCCAGUAUUCUGGCGGGCAUGCCUGUUCGAGCGUCAUUUCAACCAUCAAGCCCCCGGGCUUGUGUUGGGGACCUGCGGCUGCCGCAGGCCCCGAAAACCAGUGGCGGGCUCGCUGUCACUCCGAGCGUAGUAGUUACACCUCGCUCAGGGCGUGCUGCGGGUGCCGGCCGUUAAAGCCUCUAUUACCCAAAGGUUGACCUCGGAUCAGGUAGGAAGACCCGCUGAACUUAA
This 247-nucleotide unclassified non-coding RNA is filed under the name uncultured fungus. RNAcentral's name for it is "partial contains 5.8S ribosomal RNA, internal transcribed spacer 2, and large subunit ribosomal RNA". The stretch from base 1 to 52 matches the Rfam family "5.8S ribosomal RNA", at positions 103 to 154 of the family's 154-position model. The record is from RNAcentral. Lineage: Eukaryota; Fungi.